UGUAGUGUUUCCUACUUUAUGGAU
Molecule: non-coding RNA, 24 nt
Filed under: Salmo salar (Atlantic salmon)
Lineage: Eukaryota; Metazoa; Chordata; Actinopteri; Salmoniformes; Salmonidae
Also listed under: 3 other names
Gene: ssa-miR-142b-3p
Source: miRBase by way of RNAcentral